Molecule: unclassified non-coding RNA, 288 nt
Filed under: Staphylotrichum sp.
Lineage: Eukaryota; Fungi; Ascomycota; Sordariomycetes; Sordariales; Chaetomiaceae
Description: partial contains 5.8S ribosomal RNA, internal transcribed spacer 2, and large subunit ribosomal RNA
Rfam family: 5.8S ribosomal RNA (bases 1-71)
Source: RNAcentral
GUGAAUCAUCGAAUCUUUGAACGCACAUUGCGCCCGCCAGUAUUCUGGCGGGCAUGCCUGUUCGAGCGUCAUUUCAACCAUCAAGCCCCCGGGCUUGUGUUGGGGACCUGCGGCUGCCGCAGGCCCCGAAAACCAGUGGCGGGCUCGCUGUCACCCCGAGCGUAGUAGUUUACACCUCGCCCAGGGCGUGCCGCGGGUUUCCCGGCCGUUAAACCCCCCAUACCACAAGGUUGACCUCGGAUCAGGUAGGAAGACCCGCUGAACUUAAGCAUAUCAAUAAGCGGAGGA